This 225-nucleotide ribosomal RNA is filed under the name uncultured bacterium. Its description in RNAcentral is "partial 16S ribosomal RNA". It matches the Rfam family "Bacterial small subunit ribosomal RNA", at positions 794 to 1018 of the family's 1533-position model. The record is from RNAcentral.
UCCACGCCGUAAACGAUGUCUACUAGCCGUUGGGGGACUUGAUCCCUUAGUGGCGCAGCUAACGCCAUAAGUAGACCGCCUGGGGAGUACGGCCGCAAGGCUAAAACUCAAAGGAAUUGACGGGGGCCCGCACAAGCGGUGGAGCAUGUGGUUUAAUUCGAUGCAACGCGAAGAGCCUUACCUACCCUUGACAUCAUCAGAACUUGUUAGAGAUAACUCGGUGCC